Long non-coding RNA from Armigeres subalbatus, 1968 nucleotides. RefSeq lists it as uncharacterized. Lineage: Eukaryota; Metazoa; Arthropoda; Insecta; Diptera; Culicidae. The record is from RefSeq and is a predicted model, not a curated record. The transcript has 5 exons.
CUGGUUUUUCCGCAGAACUGCCAAGACGACUGAAAGGCGGCAAGUGAGAGCAGUGAAAUCGGGGUUGAGAAGCCACAUUCCGUCGUCGAAAGCCGCGGCUAUUCCUCCUGCUAGUUUGCCAUCCCACCGUCUCGCCGUCAGUAGCUGGUCGGAAAAAGUGCCCUCAGUCUCCAUUACUGGCAAGCCACCACCAGCGCGAUACCCCAGAGAGAUUCCGCCAGUGCGGUAGUGCCAACUGAUAGAAACCGUCGGGAAACCUGCUAUCGUCGCCGACGCCGCUGGGAAGCGUGGAGGACGCCUAUUCCCACGCCCAUCCAAAAAAGUGCUUCAAGCCGCCGAUCCUCAUCACCGCCUGGACGUCGCUUCAGUUCGUCGCCGACGCCGCUGGGAAGCGUGGAGGACGCCUAUUCCCACGCCCAUCCAAGAAAGUGCUUCAAGCCGCCGAUCCCCAUCACCGCCUAGACACAGCAUCGGUCCGUCGCAAACGCCGCCGGUAAACGUGGAGGUCGCCAAUUCCCACAACCGGCCAAGAUAGUGCGCCGAUCCUUAUCAUCGCCAAGACACCACAUCAUCAAUCCGUCGCAGACGCCGCCGGGAAACGUGGAUGACGCCAAUUCCCACAACCGGCCCCAGAUAGUGCUCCGAGCCGUCGAUCGACAUCAGUCGGCAACCGGAUGAGAAGCAUGUCCCCCCACCAACCAGCCCGCACCAAGCAUCAAAUGAACACGCAAGUACCAUUGUAACCACCAUGUAAUAAAUUAUAAAAUGUAAGCUAAAAUCGCCUUAGUAGCUAUAGUAGCUACAAAGGUUUAAAACCAUCGGCACGGUGCACAAGAAAAGAGAGGAAGACAAUCCGUACAGUGCUAGUGAAAUGCGUAAAACAAUACAAAAUAAUUGUAUAGUGCUAGUAAAAUGUGUGAACGAUCAUUACGAUGCACGAGAAAAAUAGUGAAGUGAAAAUCAAACUGUUCGAUACACGAGAAAGGAUAUGAAGAGAAUGCAGAUUCGAAGAUCUGCAAGACAAUCUGUACAGCAGGCGAGAGGGGUGAUGAAGAGAAUGCAGAUACCAAGAUAAUCAGUACAGCAGACGAGCAAGGCGACGAAGAGAAUGCAGAUGCCAAAAAACACCAACCCGAGACCAGUGGAGUGAAAAUACAGUAGCUGGAGUUCUGGAAAAUUCAGUAAGAAAUUCCUAAACUCGAUGUGACAAUAGGUUGCUGUUCUUCCUCUACUACGGGAACAGCGAGAAGCAUCCAACUACUUCAACUAUAUUGCUGCAUAGAGACCACCGUUCGGCUUGGUGGUGCGAGUGGCGUAGAGUAGUGUGAGAGGGUACCCAUUAUAUUCACCGUCACGCGUCGUAUUCACACCCCUCAAUGAUUGAACAGUCAUCAAUAAACUUAAAAGCUACGCUACGAAGCAUGUCCAUACACAUCGCAGCAGGCGUUGCACAUAACGAGAAAAAGCCGGCCCUCUUUCGUGUGCCGAUCUUUGGACAGGACCUAUUUUUGUUUGUCAAGAAUGCGGAAAUGAAUUGAGAUCAGCAGUGCGAAGCUAGCUCCACCAACAGCAACAAUGGCAGUGAUCACGAAUGACGUGGUCAUCGCUUUUACUAUCGCUACCAAAAUACGGCGGAACAGCAAUCGGAAUCUAACAUCGGAAUCUUGGACAUUGAUGAAGAAAAAAACACCAUCGAGCGGCAAAACGCAGGCAAAGUGCUACACGGUCACAAACUUUCUGGUGCAGGAGCGCGAGCAUGUUUUGCAUUGCGGAGGAUAGCCUUAUUUGGCGAGACCAUCGAAUGAAUCUGUUGUACAUCCCGGGUCACAUCGCUUUCAUGAUGGAAGUUGACAGUCGCUGACAGCUCCCGACGAAACGUUGGUAAUUUUAGACGGAUUGACGCAAAAAUGGAUUUACGGAACGAAACAAUAAAGUAACGGUGUGGAAUCGGCCGAUAGGUCAACUGAA